UAGGGAAUCUUCGGCAAUGGACGAAAGUCUGACCGAGCAACGCCGCGUGAGUGAAGAAGGUUUUCGGAUCGUAAAACUCUGUUGUUAGAGAAGAACAAGGACGUUAGUAACUGAACGUCCCCUGACGGUAUCUAACCAGAAAGCCACGGCUAACUACGUGCCAGCAGCCGCGGUAAUACGUAGGUGGCAAGCGUUGUCCGGCUUUAUUGGGCGUAAAGCGAGCGCAGGCGGUUUCUUAAGUCUGAUGUGAAAGACCCCGGCUCAACCGGAGAAGGGAAUUGGAAACUAGGAGACUUGAGUGCAGAAGGGGAAAGUGGAAUUCCAUGUGUAGCGGUGAAAUGCGUAGAUAUAUGGAGGAACACCAGUGGCGAAGGCGGCUCUCUGGUCUGUGACUGACGCUGAGGCUCGAAAGCGUGGGGAGCAAACAGG
This 429-nucleotide ribosomal RNA is filed under the name Gemmatimonadota bacterium. RNAcentral's name for it is "Gemmatimonadetes bacterium partial 16S ribosomal RNA". It matches the Rfam family "Bacterial small subunit ribosomal RNA", at positions 355 to 776 of the family's 1533-position model. The record is from RNAcentral. Lineage: Bacteria; Pseudomonadati; Gemmatimonadota.